This 504-nucleotide ribosomal RNA is filed under the name uncultured bacterium. RNAcentral's name for it is "partial 16S ribosomal RNA". It matches the Rfam family "Bacterial small subunit ribosomal RNA", at positions 29 to 523 of the family's 1533-position model. The record is from RNAcentral.
AUUGAACGCUGGCGGCAGGCCUAACACAUGCAAGUCGAACGGCAGCACAGAGAGCUUGCUCUCGGGUGACGAGUGGCGGACGGGUGAGUAACGUCUGGGAAACUGCCCGAUGGAGGGGGAUAACUACUGGAAACGGUAGCUAAUACCGCAUAACGUCGCAAGACCAAAGUGGGGGACCUUCGGGCCUCACACCAUCGGAUGUGCCCAGAUGGGAUUAGCUAGUAGGUGGGGUAAUGGCUCACCUAGGCGACGAUCCCUAGCUGGUCUGAGAGGAUGACCAGCCACACUGGAACUGAGACACGGUCCAGACUCCGACGGGAGGCAGCAGUGGGGAAUAUUGCACAAUGGGCGCAAGCCUGAUGCAGCCAUGCCGCGUGUAGGAAGAAGGCCUUCGGGUUGUAAAGUACUUUCAGCGGGGAGGAAGGCGGUGAAGUUAAUAGCUUCACCGAUUGACGUUACCCGCAGAAGAAGCACCGGCUAACUCCGUGCCAGCAGCCGCCGUAA